RNAcentral lists this unclassified non-coding RNA (425 nucleotides) under Hevea brasiliensis (rubber tree). The record is from RNAcentral. Lineage: Eukaryota; Viridiplantae; Streptophyta; Magnoliopsida; Malpighiales; Euphorbiaceae.
GCUCGUCGUCCCUAUCAGUCCUUUGAUCUUCCGUUGCCCCUUCAGGUAGAGGAAGGUCCUUCCCUUGCCUGCUGUGAGUUCCUUGCCCUCCGUGGGACGAGAUGUAUAUAUUUUUUGUACUUUUUUCUUUUGCUAGUUUCUUUGGAUCUGUUGCAUGUUGUUGAAGUGGGUUAAGCUUGUGCUCUUAGGAGAAUGUUAUUUUAGCUACUGCGUGAGCGGGAUGGGUCUUCACUUUUUCCCCUUUUGUCAAUCUCUUUCUUGAGCCUCUGUAUGCUUGAUCUUGUCUAUGGGAGGGUGCGUUCCCUUUAGACCUUUACAAAGGUAUCUCAGGAGUCUGUAAGCUAACCACUCCUCGAGUUUGCUAACUAUAAGGCAAAGAGAGUCAUUGAAUGUUGGUUUGCGAUACGGUUUGCGGCAAGCACCUA